CCUACGGGAGGCAGCAGUAGGGAAUCUUCCACAAUGGGCGAAAGCCUGAUGGAGCAACGCCGCGUGGGUGAAGAAGGUUUUCGGCUCGUAAAACCCUGUUGGUAGAGAAGAAAGUGCGUGGUAGUAACUGUUCACGUUUCGACGGUAUCUAACCAGAAAGCCACGGCUAACUACGUGCCAGCAGCCGCGGUAGUACGUAGGGUGCAAGCGUUAUCCGGAUUUAUUGGGUUUAAAGGGAACGUA
Molecule: ribosomal RNA, 243 nt
Filed under: uncultured bacterium
Lineage: Bacteria
Description: partial 16S ribosomal RNA
Rfam family: Bacterial small subunit ribosomal RNA
Source: RNAcentral